Molecule: ribosomal RNA, 479 nt
Filed under: uncultured bacterium
Lineage: Bacteria
Description: bacterial SSU rRNA
Rfam family: Bacterial small subunit ribosomal RNA
Source: RNAcentral
CUCAGGACGAGCGCUGGCGGCAUGCCUAACACAUGCAAGUCGAACGGAACUAAGGGGCUUGCCCUUAGUUAGUGGCGGACGGGUGAGUAACGCGUGAGCAACCUGCCUUUCAGUGGGGGAAUAAUAUCCUGAAAAGGGUACUAAUACCGCAUAACGUAACGAGAUCGCAUGGUUUUGUUACCAAAGAUUUAUCGCUGAGAGAUGGGCUCGCGUCCGAUUAGCCAGUUGGUGGGGUAACGGCCUACCAAAGCUACGAUCGGUAGCCGGACUGAGAGGUUGAACGGCCACAUUGGGACUGAGACACGGCCCAGACUCCUACGGGAGGCAGCAGUGGGGGAUAUUGCGCAAUGGGGGAAACCCUUGACGCAGCAAUGCCGCGUGAAGGACGAAGGUCUUCGGAUUGUAAACUUCUUUUGUCAGGGACGAAAAUUGACGGUACCUGACGAAUAAGCUCCGGCUAACUACGUGCCAGCAGCGGC